Molecule: long non-coding RNA, 13019 nt
Filed under: Amborella trichopoda
Lineage: Eukaryota; Viridiplantae; Streptophyta; Magnoliopsida; Amborellales; Amborellaceae
Description: long non-coding RNA (ATRI_LNC003320)
Source: RNAcentral
AAAUCCUUAUGAAUUUACUCUCUCUCUAAGUUUACUCUUUCUCUCUAACUUUACUCUCUCUCUUCGUGGCACCUGCGCGAAGAGAGAAGGCUUAAUCUCGAUGCCUAAAACCAACCCAGACGCCCUCAGCCCUUUACCGUUGGAGCUCCCCACUUGCUCUGCAACCAGGUAAGUUUCACUUGUUUUAGAUGUCUAGCUGUUUUACAGUAAUAUCGCAAUAAAAUCUUUAGAUUUUUUUACUGUGUAUCUCCAAGAAAACCAACCCUAUCUUGGAUCUGCCAUUUUUGGAACUUUACUGGGGUAGGGUUUUUUUGGUUAUUCCGUGCACGCUCUACAUUUUGUUUGGAUCCGACUAUUUUGAGCGUGAUUUGAUUUUUCUGAAAUAUUUUUUAGGGUUUUGAGGUAAGGAGUUGGAGCGACAUGAAAAUUGUCCAUUAGAAACAAACACGAUUAUAGCUUAUAUUUUUGUUGAAUCAAUUAAUUUCUGUUUCAGAUGUAUCAUAUAUGGGUUUCCAAAGAUGUGGUUCAGGGGUCAAUAGUUUUUCCAUAGUUAAUUUUUAUCGAUAUCUGCACUUUUGAUUCAUAAUUGAGUUAUUUGGGGUCUGCAUGACUACCGUAGGGGAACUAUUUCUAUUUGUUUGGUGGGGAUAGAAUGUAAUUCUCUCAUAUGGCUAUGUAAGUACCAGUUAUAUGGAUGAACUACAAAAAAAGAAUAAGAGAGUAACAGUUUUACAGAUGGGAUUAUACAAGCUUUGUGGUCUGAUAUGAUUAUCUUUUAUCAGAAGUUAUCUGUUAUUGUUCAAAAAGCCAAGCUUGAGAUAUCACAAUGAGCUUGCUAGAUGGAACCAAAAAAUUACUGACAUUUGAUCUUAGGAGGCUUUUACUCUUGUUACUAUUUUCUGGUUGCAUUUUUAUUGACGGUGAAAUUCCAUGCUUUUAUUGACUUUGUACGAUUUGUUUCUGUUUCUACAUAAAUUGAUGGUCAUAAAGGCCCCAACUUGACGCUCUUAUCUAAGAACUAUCCCUUUGAGGGGGAAAAAUGGGCCUCUUGGUACAACCAUUGGUGCUCUCAAUUAUUUGUGUUUGUGUUAGUACAUCGAAACAAAGUACCUAUGGUUGAGCUGAAAUGAAAGCUGAAGAGAAUAGGAUUCAUAUCAAUAUGAUUUUAAUUGUCAAGUUGGGGGCCGCAGAAUUUGGAGAAACAAGAAAAUAUAGAAGAUUUGUGAAAUCUCAGCAUUUCAGAUGGUCACAAAUAAAAGAUAUGGGUGUGCAUGUUAAUUUUGAAAUGUAUUUAAUAUAUUUGGAGAAAUUCAUCCUUUUCUUAAGCCCAAGAAUAUUUCUUUCCAUCUUUUAUGCUCAAGAAUUGCCUAUAAUCUACACAUGGUCUCCUGUGGGUAUCAAGGUUGUCUUCCUAUUGUAAAUUAAUCCACUCAAUAGGUCGAGAACCGAGAUGAUUACCUGCAAAAGUCAAUUGAAACCUCAGGGCAAGUGAUUUGACUUGGCAUUUUCCAAAAUCCAAGACAUGAAUGCCGAUACAAGUUUCCUAUUCAACAUAUAUCUAUUCACCUUACAUGAAAUCAUCAUUGUCAAAGCCCUUUUCCAAGUAAUUGGGUCGGCUGAUUCAACUUACAUGAAAUGAUGAAUACAUAGAUGUUUGGUUUUUAUUUAGAUGUUUAUAUUCAUGUCUUUUUAUACUAAAAGUUAUCUAGAAGUGUCUUUUCUCUAUAUUAGUAUUAUAUUGUUUCGACACCAUGCACUAAGCAUAUACAAGUAUCCAAUAAUGGAACUGCUUAGGGGUUCUUAAAUUGGCAUAUUAUGUUUUUUAAACACCUAUCCUGGCCUAAUCUACCUUUUUUGAAGAAACCGAUCCUUUAGACAUGUUCUAUGAUGAAUAAAAUGCCCACUAACUCUAAAGAAGGGUACAAAGUUUUUUUUUUGAUGACUGUUAACUUAAAAUUAUAAAAGCGAAACACAGUACAUAGUACAUAAAGUUUGAUACAGUUGGCCUCUAAGCUUAGCCCAACCUGUAUCGUGGUCUCUAAGGGGAGGACCAAGAGCAAUCCAGUCACAAGUUGAACUCUACAUUAAAGUAGUUUACAUGGUGGGGCUUAUAGAACUGCCCAUAUACAAAAGCAGUCAAAAGGAUGAAGGGCCUAUAGUUGCCCUUGUACAUAGUCUAUCUAAACUAAGCAUUCUGUGAAGAAGAUUGGUGUGCUGCUCCUUUAGCGAGUGCGUCUGCGGUUGUGUUUGCAGUCCUUUGGGUAUGCUGCCACGUGACAUCUAGGUCCCUGCAUAAGUGGAAUGUGACUCAAAUACCAAGGUGGGUCGCUUUUCUCAGAUCCCUAGGUUAUGAUAUUAUUGGUGUCUCCUUCUAAGAGCAGGAUUCUACCCCACGUAAGGUUAAAAUGUUUGAUUCCAGUUAGAAGGGCCAAAGCUUCUGCUGUUUGUGAGUCUUUUAUUCCUAUGAACUCCGAGAACAAAAGGACUUCAAAGUUUCUAAACACUCCUCCAAUGCCUGCAGGACCAGGGUUACCUAAAGAGCACCCAUCAAAAUUGAGUUUAAUCCGACCUUCUAGGGGAGGGGUCCAUCUUAGAUUGAUUUCACUUUUAUGAUGGUUGAGGAAUAGAAGAUUACUCCAUUCUUGUAGAAAGGAAGAUGCUGAGAUUCCCGUUAACAAUUUAUGGUGGGUUGCCUAAAAAAUAACAGAGUCUGUUAUUUUAUGGAAGAGAGUGAGGGUGGAAUUCUUUUCCCUUUGAAAAGUUCUAGAGUUUCUUUCCUUCCAUGGGUGCCAUAGGGUAGCCGCUAAGGAUGCUUUCUACAGAAUUUUACCUGAUUUUCUCCAUUUGUCCUCGAAAGAUUGGGCUAUCAAAGGCGGAAUGGAAGGUGGAAUCACCCACGUCAAACUAAACAACUGGAUGAGUUUUCUCCAUACAGAAAAGGCAAACUUGUAGUGUAAUAACAUUUUCUUCCUCUUCUAAGCACAUUACACAUUUGUUAGGUAUUUGAAAGCCUCUUUUCUGGAGAUUAUCAAUGGUUAGGGGUUUUCCUAGAGUUGCAAGCCAUUGGAAGAAUUGGGCCCUUGGUGGAGCUAUAGAGUCUCAUGCUUUGCUUGAGAUGUCAGAAUUGUCAUUCCCCUCUACUAGAACCUUAUAAAAAGAUUUAACAGAGAAUCUUCCUGAUGGGGAAGGAGUCCAUAUCAUUGAGGCUUUCCCUGACUGAGCUAGGAAGACUCUAUGCAAUUCCAAGCUUAGAGAAGAGAAGGCAAUAAGUUCGUUCUCAGAUAGCAGCCUUUUAAAGACGACUCCAAGUCCUUCUGCUGCCUGAGUUGGCCAUGACUCCUCUAUUGUGGAUUCUUUGUAAUUAGAAAGUAUGUAAAGUGAGGGGAAUCUGUCUUUGAGUGUUAAGGAGGCUAGCCACUUGUCCUCCCAGAACCUCACUUUACUUCCUCCUCUUGCAUGGAAUCUAAUGUGCUCUCUAAAGCUUGGGAGGAUGGAUCUUAAGGAUUUCCAUAUACUUGACGCUGAUUUCCAUAUCUCUGGCAGCCACUUUGAAGAAGGGAGGUUCUAUUUGCUUUUUAUCACCUGAGCCCAUAAUUGGUUCUCGUGAUAAGCUAGCCUCCACCACCAUUUUCCCAGCAGUGCCAAGUUUUGUUCCCUUAAGUCUCUAAUCCCCAAACCUCCCUUCGUUUUGUGGGUGCAAAUCUUAUUCCAGGUUAAAAGGUGUAUUUUCUUGGUCUCUGCCGAACUAGACCACAAAAAGUUUCUCAUAAGUUGUUCGAUCCUCGUAGCUAUAGUAACUGGAAUCUGAUAUAGCAACAUGAAGAAGAUCGGUGUAUUUGCUAAAGAGGCUUUGAUAAGUGUGCGUCUGCCUGGCAAAGACAGGUAACGCCCUUUCCACCCAGUUAGCCUUCUAUCUAUUCUAUCAACCACUUGGGCCCACAUCUGUUUUUUGGGUCUACCAAGGCCUAGUGGGAGUCGCAGGUAAGUAGUGGGGAGGUCUUCUACUGCGCAUUCCCACCCCAAGAUAAAGCUUCUUGUUUGGGAUGCAUUUAGGCCAACUCCAAUCAUUUUUGACUUAGCCAUAUUGACCUUAAAACCAGUAGCUAUUUCAAAGCAAGCUAGGAAAAUUUUAAGGUUAAGGAUCUCCCUCUCAUUAGCCUCAAGGAAAACUAGCGUGUCACCUGCGUAUUGCAAGUGAGACACUAUUGGGCCUACCCUACUUGCUUUGAAACCAGAUAGUAAUCUAGCCUGGUAUAAUCUGAAAAUGGAUUGACUGAAACCUUCUCCCAUUAUGGUGAAUAGGAAGGGGGAUAAUGGGUCUCCUUGUCUAAGGCCCCUUGAUUCAGGGAAGAAUCCCUUAGGGGAACCAUUGAUGAGGACCGAGAAAAAGGGUCUAGAGUAGCACCCUUUCAUCCACUUUCUCCAUCUCUCUCUAAAACCCAUGCUGUGUAAGGUUUGAUCAAGGAUUGACCAAUCAAUGUGAUUGUAAGCUUUUUCCCAAUCGAUCUUGAAGAUAAGGCCUGGUUUUUUUCUUUUAUGGCAUGAGUGGGUACAUUCAUGGGCUACCAGGACUCCAUCUAGGAUCUGUCUGUUGUUAAUAAAAGCUGACUUGGAUGGGGAGAUAACUAGAUUUAGGACCUAUUUUAAUCUGGAGGCAAGGACUUUUGAGAGGAUUUUGUAGGAAGAAUUAAGGAGGCUAAUAGGUCUAAAGUCCUUAAUGUUCUCUGCUCCUUCAAUUUUGGGUACCAUAACAAGGAAGGUGGCAUUGAUGGCUUUAUUAAGAAUGCCUUUCUCAUAGAAUUCCUCGCAGAAAAGCUUAAAAUCUUCCUUAAACGUGGUCCAAUAGGUUUUGAAUAGAGCCACAUGAAAUCCAUGACGUCUAGCAGCCUUGUCAAGGGCCAGGUCCUUGAUCGCCUUCUUAAUUUCUUCAUCAGAGAAGGGGGGCUCAAUCCACGCAGCUUUCUCUGCAGGAAGGGUUUUGAACUCAAUGUCUUCCAUAGAGGGUCUGGGUAGGUUAGGGUUAGAGUAAAGGUUACUGAAGUGAGAUAAAAUGGUCCCUUCAAUCUCACUUUCCGAAUCAAACAACACCUCUCCAACUUCGAUGGUUUGGAUUAGAUUAGUUCGGCGCCUAUUACUUGCUAUUCUAUGGAAGUACUAGGUAUUUAGGUCCCCUGACUUUAGCCAAGUGACUCUAGACCUUUGAUACCAAAAUAGUUCUUCCUUUUUGAGAGUGGUGAGGUAUUCUAUUUUGGUUUUUUGUCUGAGGUUGGCUUCGUCAUGGGACAAAUCUUUGGAUUCCUCAAUCUUAUCUAGGUUCUGGAUAAUCUCUAGCUGAGAUCUUUUUGACACUGAGAAGUUUCCUUGCAAGGAGGAUUUCCAUGAAAUAAUAGAUUUUUUGAGGAGCUGCAACUUUGCAACUUUUUCUGAAGCUUGAAACCAGCUCUGCCAGAGACUUGAUUUGAGAAAGCUUGCCACCAAGAAUCAAUGAGUGUUGUCAGCUCUUUUUCUAAGGUCCAAGCCAGUUCGAAACGAAAGGGUUUGGGUCCUCUAGGUCCAGAUUGGGUAUUGAGUAAGUAUGGGGCAAUGAUCUGAAAUGGGUUUAGGGAGAGUAAAGGCAUGAGACCUUGGAAAGUUUUCAUCCCAAAACGGGGAGAGUAAGAAUCCAUCCAAUUUAGAUAGAGUGGGUUGGGCUUCAUGGUCCGACCAAGUGAAUUGAUUCCCUAGAAGUGGGAUUCCAAUUAAUUCGAGUUUGGAAAUGAGGUCGGAGAAUUCAUACAUGGAUGUGGUGACUUGGGAAGAGGAGUUUCCUUCAAAAGGCCAUCUGGUGAUAUUGAAAUCACCCCCCAGACACCAGAGGGUGAGGAAGGUUGGCGAUAUCUUCAAUUUCUUCCCAAAAUUUUGGUCUUAGAGCUGACCUGUUGGGGCUGUACACAACAGUGAACUUCCACUUAAGGUGGUCAGUUCUCCUUGAGAGGAUGACACGUCCGAGGGAUAGAGAUGCUCGGGGUUAAUGGAGGGAAAAAGGUUGAUCAGUUCUCUAUAGCCAUUUUUCCUCCUCUGUCCAUUAUCCCCCGAGGUAGAAUCCAAAGAGAGGAGCAGCUGGUGGUGAGAAUCUGAGAAUUUAAAACCCAUAACUUUGAAGAAAAACUUGACCUUUUCUUUGGAUUGCUCAAAGCUGAUGUCAUCGAUGCUGUCUUGCCUGGCCAAUUCCUCUUCCCAGUCGUCGGUUGCUGCAGAUCCUUAGGUUUCGGUGGUGCGUUGAAGCAGGGGCAGGAGCCUUCGUAAAGGAGUAGAGGCAGGAGAGGCGGGGAAUAGUGUACAAAGCAGGUUGGGGGUUGGAGAGGUUAGGUGGUCCUUGAUACAGAGGUUUGGUUAAGCUAUCAGUCAUGAAACAUAAAGGUUCAUAAGGGGUAGGGGGAGGUGUAGUAGGGGAAGGUUGACGAAGUGGUGAAGGGUCAAAACAAGGUGGGGGAAAGACAAGGGGAAGAGGAGCACUAGAAGAGAAAGCCCUUGAUUCAAUAAUGUGGCCCACGAUGUAGGAGGGGUUAAGUGCUAGGUGGAACUGUGGAAGAUGCUUCUCAAUGAUGAGGAAGGCUGUACGAGGGAUAAGGGGGUGGCCAUGAAUGCGGCAGAAAGAAAUAAGGGAGGAGCUAACCUUGCAUAUAGGGGACUAUUCAGGGUGAAAAGGAAGGUAAUGGGACCGAUAAGCAGCUAUUGCCUCCAGGUUUAGCAGCGAAGGGCAAUAGGUGAGGAUCAUCAUGACUCCAAUUGGAUACUGGGACCAUUCCAUUUUCAGGGAUGCAGGAGGGGGCAAGGGGGAUAGGCGGGGGGUAGACAAGGAGUAGACGAACAGGUCAAGAAGGGGUUCAUGGAGGGGAAGGUUCAGAGCAAUAGAAGAGAGGUUAGCUGUUGGGUCACCUCUACCUUCAUCUGUAGCCUUUGUCGCUAAAAAGAGGUUCUUCUUUCCUGGGGAAGUUCUCUGCUUUGCCUCCUUAGAAGGAGAAAGGGAUACCUGAAGCUCUGAAAGGGUGGGGACAGUGGGGAAGGCUCACUGUGGAUAAACGAGGGAGGGGUGCAGUUGGGGGCGACAUCACUCGAUGGGAUGGUCUCCUUUAGAGAGGGGACAACAAUAGCUCCAAGGGGCUUUGGCAAGGCAGGGGAGGACUUCAAAAUCAGAGGGCCAGAGGGAGAUCUUUCAAGGAGGGGGAAGAGGAGUCAGAUAAGACUGUCUGACAAGAGUAGGGAGAGUACUUGAGGGGUAGGAGGUUACUUGCCAAGGGGUUAGAAUCAGUCGGUGAUGGGACAUUAGGAACCUUUACAGAGGUCACAGUAGAGGACACCUGUGAAUGGAGCAUGACAAGUGUCGAAGAGACCACGAGAUGGGAGGGGUCACCAUGAUGGCCAGGAGUGGGGUGAGUAGGGGAUUUCAACGGGUAGUUGGCUGUCGCAGACUCAUUGAGAGUGAGAUCUAACGGUUGGAUCUCACUGCAUCAUCAAGGUGGUUCGAACGGGCUCUAGGCAGGGGGGCAAUUGUUGAAGCCUGACUGAGUGGACACGUGUCGUGACCUUGUAGCGAGAGAUGGGCAUCUUGGGUUGAUCAUUCCCGGUGGCCUCCGUCUAUUUUUCCGGUGGACCACCAUCCACUGUUCCGUCAUCUUGUUGCCCUUCUGAGUAGGGAGGUCCCAAAAUGGCGACGACCAGCCAACGAGGAUUGGGUACCAAGAUUCCCCUACCUUGAUCCAGAUUUUUGAGGGUAGAGCUGAAGAAUUAAGAGUCUCCAGUAGAACUUGCGUUGAACCCAAUGGGAGAAAUUCAAGGGACUUCCAGUUGAUGGAAAUGAGCCUGUCACACUUUUGAGCAAGUUUUCUAAAAGUAAAGGGAGACCAUUGAUGCAGAGGAAUAUUUUUGCAGGUAACCCAGAAUUUGGAAGAGGCUGAGGAUCCUAGCUUGGGAGACCAAGGCUUUAGGGAAAGCUUGGCCCUUUUAAAGGUAAGAUUGGAUUGGUUUUCCACUGCUUUCUGUGUCAGAUUUAGGGAUGGGCAGGACAACAGAUCAUCCCCGUUGGACAAGUUCUUGCAUGUAACAUUAGGUUCUCCCCACAUAAUUUGUGCCCAUUUCUCAAUACCCCUAAUGUCGUUGCGUCGAGGGACAAGAACCCCUACUAGCGCCGCUUGCAACUUAGCAGAUAAAGGCUGAGAAACAGAGUCAGGGAUUUUGAACGGGGAGGUUUGGGUCCUCGGAAGGCAGUCUACCGUGGGCACAGCUGGGGGGGGGGGGGGGGGGGCGGGAGGGGAGGGGAAGAGGAUAGAUAUGAAAGGGGAAUGGGUAGGUUGGAAGUUACAAUCUUAGCGUAAGAUGCUGAGGUCUUUGGUUGGCUUUGAAGAACACGGGCAAAAGGUUUAGGGUGGGAGCUUUGAGAGGGAAAGCGAGGAUAAAGGUUUGUGUAUUGUCUCGCAGUCUGAGAAGAGGGUUCGAGAAGGUUCUUGGUUCCUGCGCUUGUCACCAGCAGAACUGGAGAACUUACGGAUAGUAUUUGUAUAGACUCCUCCUCCAUCUCAUGUGAACUCCGUUGAGGAAGACCCAAGUUGUUGUUUAAAGGUGUAGGGCCGAUUUGCAGAGUGAAUAGGUCGUCGAGAGAAGGUAGAGGCAGAGUUUCUUCCCGUCAUGUUGUCUGUGUCUGGGGCUUAUUGACGAACUUCUAAGGACCCAAAUGGCUUGACAGAGAAGGAGGGAGAGGGAGAGGGACUCUUCCAAUGUAAAGGGUACCGAGUUUUGGAAUUGUUUUUAAAGGUGAUUUCAGUCACUAAGCAUGUUGUUUUUAUCUUUCUUUUAUUAUUUCAGAUUAUAAAACGAUUAGCAAAGUCUCUUCAGUAUAUUCAUAGGGACUUACUCUCGCCUAUGUUUAGCACAACCUAAAAGAACAUAUACAAAACAUGGUGGAAAUUGCAAUCCGUUACUUGUUUUGAAUCAAGCAACAAACAUAAAUACUCUUAUGAAGUUCAGAAAUAAAUCACUAACUUCAUAACUUCUUUAAAUUGUUUUAAAACUUAACAAUUGGCUUAGAUCAAAGGUCAGUCAUCAAAGAAGCUAACAACUAACACUAACUGCUAAGCCUGAAAUGUAUAUCAGAGUUGAGCUCGCUUUUAUAUCUCUUGUUGCAAACCUGAUAUUUAGAAACCCAUUUAGGACUUAAUUUUGUUCUUAACAUCAUAAAAUGUUUGCAAUAGAUGCUUGCUUCCAUUUCCCAAUUCUAGAGAGGGAGCACAAUAACAUAAAAAGUAGAGCGAGAGUGUGAGGAGUGAGAGAGCAAUCAUAAAGAUCGGAGAGAAUGAACAAUGAAAAAAAGGAGAGAGAGAGAGCAAAAAAUAAAAAGUUUAGGUCAAAACAAGAUUUAAGGAAGCCAAUCCAAAAGAUAAAUACAAGAAAGAAGGGAGAGUACCAUUAAAUCACAUCGUUUUCCAGUACGGGGUCUAUGAGCAUCAUAAGUAUCAUAGAUAACCCUAGGCACCAUUUUUGGAAAAUUACUCCUUGCAUCUUCGAUUCAAAAUUGCAUCAUCUAGAUUAACCACAAAGAAACCCCAGGAAAAGUAAGUCAAUUUCAGUCAAUUUUGAUGAAGCCACGUUCUAGCUAUAGUGAAGGCAGUUGGAUGAAGGCAGUUGGAUGACUCGUCAACCGGUUACUGUUAGCUAUAGUGUUUGAUCAGGAGACUCAUAAAAAAUCUAUGAAUAGUAUUUUUAAUGGAAUAGUGUUUUUACUAUUCAUUACUAUUCUUAUGGACUCGUGUGCUGAAGUGUUUGCAGUCGAGUCGUCUAUCUCACGAUUAUAUUGGACCCUUCGAAAUUCUUGGAAGAGUUGGAAGUGUGGCAUACCGAUUGGCCCUACCACCCGAGUUGGUUAACAUUCAUGAUGUUUUUCAUGUAUCACUGUUGAGACAAUAUCAGCCUGACCCGUUUCAUGUUUUGAGGUAUGAACCAAUCUCAAUCAAAGAAGAUUUGACUUAUGUUGAGCAACUGAUUGAGAUAUUGGACAAGAGGGUGCAGGUUUUGCGCAACAAAGAAACCCCUCUCGUCCGUGUACUAUGAUAGUAUCAUUUAAGAGAAGAGUCAACAUGGGAACGAGAAGAUGAGAUCGAGGAUAAAUACCCCCAUCUAUUUGAUUAACUGACGAUUUUGAGGACAAAAUCCUUUUUAUUGGGGGAAUGAUGUAAGGACCUAAACUUUUCCUGAAUAGAAAGCUUGCGCAGCAGUAAAAAGCCAAUGGAAGAGGAGAAGAGAAGUUAUAUUGCCGUCUGUGUAGCUGCCAUUUGUGUAGCUGCCAUUUGUGUUCUGUAUAGCUGCCAUUAGCGUUAUCACCGUCUGUGUAGCUGCCAUUUGUGUUAUUGUCGUCUGUGUAGCUGCCAUUUGUGUUAUUGCCAUCGGUGUAGCUGCCAUUUGUGUUAUUGCCGUCUGUGUAGUUGCCAUUUGUUACUGCCGUCUGUGUAGUUGCCAUUCGUGUUUUUGCCGUCUGUGUAGCUGCUGCUGUGAGUGUAUGCCAUGUGGCCCAUGUAAGCCACUUGUGGGCCUUUAACAGCCGCUCGGACACCACAUACACAACACUUGUAACCCUUGUUGCUACUUGGCUUGUGCAUGCUGCCUCCUCUCCCCUUUCUUGCUUAUAAAUACCCCUUCAAACACUCCUCUCAAGAGUUUUCACACUCUCUCUCUCUCUAGAGCCCAACACUUAGAGCUCACUGUUACUCCAUUGAAGAACCAUUGUAAGAAGCUUGAAGGGGACUGUGAAAAGGGAGUUUUGGAGGCACAAUUGCACACUAGGUAAGUGGAUUAAUCCACCAUUGCAUCUAAACUUGUGAGGCAUGAAACUAAAAUAGUACAAGCAUGAAAGGGGUGAACGAAAGUGAUUGUGUAGUUGUGGUUUAUGCAUUGUUUCACAGAACUGAUGCCUCUGUUGCAUGAUGGGUUUUGAUGUUGCAAAUGACUCUAUUGCUCAUAAAAAUAUGUAGAAAAAUGUGUAUAUAUGUCUAAAUUAAAAUGAAAAAGAUUUUAUGAUGUUAUCUACUGUGAAUUGAUAGUUAUUUAGCAUUCUUUGAGGCAUGCCAUGUGCACACUGUGAAUUUCCAGGAAUGUGCAUGUUGUUGUAACAAGCUUUUGAAUAGCCAAAUGAGGUUCAAAUGACUUCAAAUUACUACUAUUAGAAAGAUAUAGGUGUCUACUUUGAUGUGCUUGUUUAAACCUUGUUAAGACUCUUUAUAAAUGAGGGGUUAUGCUUCUAAUUGUGCAAGCAUGUCACUGUUAACAGUUUUCUCUGAAAUUUAACUGUCACCUCUGUUGACAUGAGUUUUGACUAACCAAAUGAAGUCCAAUUGCUCUCAAACCACUGCCAUUUGAAAGAUCUCUGCAUGUGCUUAAAGUUGUAUGUUGAAAAUAUUUCGAAAUUCCUCCUAGAUUGAAAGUUAUGCUUUAAAUUGUGAGAGCAUGUCACUGCUAGCAGAUUUCACCAAAUUCCAAAACUAUCACUUCUGUUGUCACGAACUUUUGAAUGGCCAAAUGGAGUCCAAAUGCUUUCAAACUGUUCUUGUUGGAAAGAUACAUGUUUUCACUUGAACUUUGGUUUUGAAACUAUUUUGAAAUGCCUUAGGGAUUGAAAGUUAUGCCCUUGGUAAGUAGGACAUAUCACUGUCACAAAUGUAUAGCAGACUUCAGAUACUAUACUUCCACUGUAUUGAUCUUUUGAUUGGUCAAACGGGCUCCAAACGCUUUCAAACCACCCCCAUUUGAAAGAUAUGCGUGUUUUGCCAUUCCCGAAUUUUGAAUAGAUUGAAAGUUACGUCCUGGUUUAUGACAGUAUGCCACUGUGAGAAAUUGUAGCAAGUUUGGAACUGAACCCCUCUUGGUACUGUUAUACUGUGAAACACUGUGAUAUUGUUAUACUGUGAUACUGAUCACUACGCAAUGGGACAUCCAUUUGUAGUGGGUACUGUUAUACUGUCAAAUACUGUGAUACUGCUAUGCUGCGAUAUACUGUGGCACUGACCACUACGCAAUGGGGCACCCAUUGGUAGUUGGAUACUAUUGUGCCAGCAAUUACUGACUAUACCUCGACCCCAAUGAUAGGACUAGGGUUGGGAGGUGAAACUAAGUAAUAGGGAGGGUUGCGCCCCCCCACUACGAAUUAGGACACACCCAAUGGUAGUGUAACGCCCUCUCGCCAGAAGGGCAUAAGGAGAGGGUCGUGUUUUGCAAAGCCAUUGUCUAUCAAAUACCUCAAAGCGCGUUGGGGAGUGUGUGUGAGGACUGUACGAAGUGGAUCACCCACUUGUCAUUGUCCUCCCUCCUGAUCGAGGGUAGAGGUUCCAAGCUACAGAAUUGGCUUGGCCUAAUCAAUAGAAUUUCUAAUUCGGGAGUAGGCAACUCUUGUGUGCAUUUGUGAUAUGUUGGUGUUUCCGUUCUGCUAAAGGUGAAAUGACUGAUGAUUUAUGCACUGUAUGAUAUUUCGACAACUGAAACGUAUCCAUUCUUGUACUGGUAAAAUACUGAAAGGCAUGGAUAGAGAUAACUUAGUGAUGCCUGUGUGAAUGUUGAAUACUUGCCUACUGCUAUUAUCAAUUAUAGGUCAGGAUGCAAUGGUGUGGAUCUACUUACUGGGCUUUGAGCUCAUUCCUUUCAUUUCCAUUGAUGUGGGGUGUUAGUCUCUGAUCUGAGAAAGAGGGCAGCUGAUCGGUGCAUUGGACGGGUAAAGCGUGGAGCGUGGCUUAAAGGGAUUCUAAGAAGCUUUCCAUAGUAGGUGUCUGGUGGCAGCGACACUGAGAUGUGUGGUUGAUCUUGUAAUUUGUGGGCCAUUAGUGCCUUGAACUAUGUGAAAUGAAAAUUUGGAGGAUGGUUGUAUAUGAAAAUGACUCAGCAUUUUAUUUCUUUUGUGGUUUGCUCUUGAUUCCACCUUUUAUAUGCGUUGAGCCACUCCCACUUGAGCGGCGUUCGAGACCUCCGGUCGUGACCCCACACUCUGUUGCCCUCCGGCGUGG